AGGAUGGUGAGGAACAUCUUUCUUCUGAGGAGACUGAGCUGCCUUUCAUCAGCUGCCACCUUGCCGACUGUGGCGUUUUAGACGUCGCCUUGAAGCUGCCUGCUCUCCGCGAGGUCUUCUCCACCCUGUUAACCAGCAUCCACCUGCAGAACCUGCUGUUUGUAAGUGGAAAGGAGCUUGUGAUGCACAUGGCAGCUCUCAACAAGC
Molecule: long non-coding RNA, 207 nt
Organism: Trichomycterus rosablanca
Lineage: Eukaryota; Metazoa; Chordata; Actinopteri; Siluriformes; Trichomycteridae
Exons: 3
Source: RefSeq, a predicted model, not a curated record